RNAcentral lists this ribosomal RNA (407 nucleotides) under uncultured prokaryote. RNAcentral's name for it is "bacterial SSU rRNA". It matches the Rfam family "Bacterial small subunit ribosomal RNA", at positions 355 to 776 of the family's 1533-position model. The record is from RNAcentral.
UGGGGAAUAUUGGUCAAUGGGGGGAACCCUGAACCAGCAACGCCGCGUGAAGGAAGAAGGCUUUCGGGUUGUAAACUUCUUUGACAGGGGACGAAAGAAAUGACGGUACCCUGAAAACAAGCCACGGCUAACUACGUGCCAGCAGCCGCGGUAAUACGUAGGUGGCGAGCGUUGUCCGGAAUUACUGGGUGUAAAGGGCGUGUAGGCGGGAAAGCAAGUCAGAUGUGAAAUACCGGGGCUUAACUCCGGGGCUGCAUCUGAAACUGUUUUUCUUGAGUGUCGGAGAGGAAAGCGGAAUUCCUAGUGUAGCGGUGAAAUGCGUAGAUAUUAGGAGGAACACCAGUGGCGAAGGCGGCUUUCUGGACGACAACUGACGCUGAGGCGCGAAAGCGUGGGGAGCAAACAGG